UGUUCCUAAACUCUAACUGCUCCACCCCUUUACAAUCAGUAAAGACAUAACUCUUGGGGACUUUGACAUUUCCACCAUUAAUGUGGAACUGCCUGAAGGGGAAGUUUCAAGGAGGAACAGAAAAACAGCCCCACUCCCACCCUACCCCCGCCAGAUCUGAGCAAACCUCUGCUAGUGACGGAUGUUGAGGACUGGGAGGAGAAAAUGUCUCCUUGUGGGCUGGUUUGUUUUGUUGUUGUUUUAUUAUCAUUUUUAUUUUAUUUUUUCAAGCAUCCCAAUCAACAGCAAAGUCAAGACAGGACAAGAAAAAAGCAACGUAGGGAAGAAGCGAAGAAUUCAGCUUUAGACUUCACACGCACUGCUCUUCGCUUUGAAAACCAACAGAUGAAUCCCCCUUUGAGAUGGAGAGGGGGAAAAAAAAAUAAUGUUUGAGCUUUUGAAAACGUUCCCUGCGUUAUUUGCUGAAUUUGACUUCAAGCCGCAAAUAUUCCGCUCUCCAUAAAGGGCAUGCAUCUUCUUAAGCAGGUUUACCUUUCAGCUCUAACCACCGCUGGUCCCUGGUGCUUGCAGAUACGUUUCGCCGACAGGACCAGGCUUUUCAGGAACAGCCUUUAGCAGUGUCCUGGGGGCUCACAUCAAGAGGAGAAAUGACUAGGUUCUCUCUGUUCUACUUCUGAACACCUGCCCCUUCCUUUCAAUGCUUCCCCCUGCCUCAAAGAGUAGCUAAGCUGUAGGUUUUCAAUGAUUUUGUGUCUUUAUCCUAUUUAUGCAUUGCAGGACAUUAGAAACAACUGAGAACUGAAUCUUUCUCUCAAAGUCACAGCACACAGUGUAAGGCCCCCAGACAUUUCCCUGCAGUCAAAAAUCUCCUGAUAUUUCAUACAUUAAAUCGAUAUAUGGAAGCUGUUCUUUUGCUGUUACAUUUUUUCACAAGCUAUGUAUUUACCCUUGCUAGGGCUCCUCAAAAAAAUGUGUCAGGGCUUCUGGCUCAUGCCAGCAGCGUGUGGUUUCUUGAGAGUGAGUCAUUGCAUUUGCAAGGCUUGAGCUUGAACUGGAAGCUGGAUUUCUGCGCUGUUCCUGGGGACUUGCCUACAGCCAAAAACUACUCCGAGCAAAUACCAAAGUGUUCCAGGUGAAGACAAAGCAAAGGAAACCCAACGAGGCAGGCACACAGCCUCCUAAGCUGAUGGGACCAGCCCACUCGCUCCGCGCACAGGUCGGGACUCGUGUAGGAACUCAAAUCCCGCAAAAAAAAAAAUAACAAGAGACGUACUGCUUGGCCGC
RNAcentral lists this long non-coding RNA (1284 nucleotides) under Anas platyrhynchos (mallard). RNAcentral describes it as "lncRNA (ENSAPLG00020017860.1)". The record is from RNAcentral. Lineage: Eukaryota; Metazoa; Chordata; Aves; Anseriformes; Anatidae.